AACGAACGCUGGCGGCAGGCCUAACACAUGCAAGUCGAACGCUGUAGCGAUACAGAGUGGCGGACGGGUGAGUAACGCGUGGGAACGUGCCUUUCGGUUCGGAAUAACUCAGGGAAACUUGAGCUAAUACCGGAUACGCCCUAUGGGGGAAAGAUUUAUUGCCGAAAGAUAGGCCCGCGUCCGAUUAGCUAGUUGGUGGGGUAAUGGCGCACCAAGGCGACGAUCGGUAGCUGGUCUGAGAGGAUGAUCAGCCACACUGGGACUGAGACACGGCCCAGACUCCUACGGGAGGCAGCAGUGGGGAAUAUUGGACAAUGGGCGCAAGCCUGAUCCAGCCAUGCCGCGUGAGUGAUGAAGGCCCUAGGGUUGUAAAGCUCUUUCGCCAGGGACGAUAAUGACGGUACCUGGAUAAGAAGCCCCGGCUAACUUCGUGCCAGCCGCCGCAGUAA
RNAcentral lists this ribosomal RNA (449 nucleotides) under uncultured bacterium. RNAcentral's name for it is "partial 16S ribosomal RNA". It matches the Rfam family "Bacterial small subunit ribosomal RNA", at positions 29 to 523 of the family's 1533-position model. The record is from RNAcentral.